RNAcentral lists this ribosomal RNA (625 nucleotides) under Shigella sonnei. Its description in RNAcentral is "partial 23S ribosomal RNA". It matches the Rfam family "Bacterial large subunit ribosomal RNA", at positions 2211 to 2831 of the family's 2925-position model. Lineage: Bacteria; Pseudomonadati; Pseudomonadota; Gammaproteobacteria; Enterobacterales; Enterobacteriaceae. The record is from RNAcentral.
UGUUUGAUGUUCUAACGUGGACCCGUGAUCCGGGUUGCGGACAGUGUCUGGUGGGUAGUUUGACUGGGGCGGUCUCCUCCUAAAGAGUAACGGAGGAGCACGAAGGUUGGCUAAUCCUGGUCGGACAUCAGGAGGUUAGUGCAAUGGCAUAAGCCAGCUUGACUGCGAGCGUGACGGCGCGAGCAGGUGCGAAAGCAGGUCAUAGUGAUCCGGUGGUUCUGAAUGGAAGGGCCAUCGCUCAACGGAUAAAAGGUACUCCGGGGAUAACAGGCUGAUACCGCCCAAGAGUUCAUAUCGACGGCGGUGUUUGGCACCUCGAUGUCGGCUCAUCACAUCCUGGGGCUGAAGUAGGUCCCAAGGGUAUGGCUGUUCGCCAUUUAAAGUGGUACGCGAGCUGGGUUUAGAACGUCGUGAGACAGUUCGGUCCCUAUCUGCCGUGGGCGCUGGAGAACUGAGGGGGGCUGCUCCUAGUACGAGAGGACCGGAGUGGACGCAUCACUGGUGUUCGGGUUGUCAUGCCAAUGGCACUGCCCGGUAGCUAAAUGCGGAAGAGAUAAGUGCUGAAAGCAUCUAAGCACGAAACUUGCCCCGAGAUGAGUUCUCCCUGACCCUUUAAGGGUCCUGA